CUGUGCUGGUGGGGGGGAAGCCCCUCCCCCGCUGUGAGAUUAAGCAGCGCGAUCGGAAUGCAGUAGCUGAUUUUAAACCAGAUCUGGAUAUACAGCGAUUUUUCUAACAGAAAGGUUUCCUGGACUUUCCCCAUAGAAUGUUUUACCCACUGCUGAUUGGCUACCUGCUCAGCGAUCACGUGAGCUGCCUCCACUGGGUCGUAGCACUGGUUGAUGACAUCACAGACCUCUUGGUUGCUCAUGAUAAAGUUUACGCCGUCGGUUGUCAGAGCCAGAAAUGCAUCAUGAGCAUGAUGUAUCUGUAAUAUAAAACCAAUAAUCCACUAUGAAUUAUUAAAUAACUACUAUGA
Astyanax mexicanus (Mexican tetra) is the source of this 350-nucleotide long non-coding RNA. RefSeq lists it as uncharacterized. The transcript has 2 exons. Lineage: Eukaryota; Metazoa; Chordata; Actinopteri; Characiformes; Acestrorhamphidae. The record is from RefSeq and is a predicted model, not a curated record.